GUUCAGGAUGCCAGGGAUGAUGGGAAGCCUGUUCUUGUUUAUCGGUUUGUACGGAACUUCACCCGCGGUAGAGUACGGCCUGAGAAUUUUGUUCCAGCACCGGUGUGAGGAAAACAUCUGAGCCCAUGAAUUGCCAGACCCUGGAUACCUGAGACACAUCCACUUGCUUCUCAGGUUUGGAGUGCAUAAUGAGGAGAAAUAAAAACAGAAAGAUCUCCAGAAAGAAGCCAUGGUAAGAUUCAAGGUUUCACAGUCCAAGCUAAUGCCUGUGGACACUUGACCAAGUGAUCUGAGAAAAUUGGAUUUCUGGCAAAACAAGUGUACCUAGACUCAGGCAAGGGUGGAGAACAGAGGGCGACUAGAUUAAAUGGAAAGAAUGCCCAGGCAUCCCAUUGCCUCCCUUUGACGUUCCAGAACUUCAUCAAGACAGUGAUGAGCUACAUGUACACCUGGAGGAGGACCAUGCAGAAUACCAUCCAGCGCCAUGAACACUAGUCAGUCAGUCAGUAAUGGUGGGCUUCUUGGUGUGCUCCAGCUCAAUUUUCUCAUGUUUGAUGAUUAGUUCAGGAUCAAGCUCAGAAGCGCACAGCUGCCAGCAAGCAGUCUACUACUGAACUGCACCAUCUCUCCAGCCUGUGCUUACUCUUGAAUAGCCCCAAAGUAGUCAAUGGUGUGGGCCCUGAAAGGAACUGUAUACCUGCUCUGCCCAUGACUGCUUCUGCCUCUACCUCAAUGUACUGUAACUGUUUAACAAGGUUGCUCUGGCUCAGGCUGAGAAAUUGACUCCACCCUUACCCUGACGCCUGGCAUGUCCACAUGUGGUCCUGUGUAGUCAGCAACCCCAGGGCUAUUUGGUACUGGACAACCAAUUGGAGUGUUGUUUGCGGGGGAGGACCACCUCUCCAGGUAGAAUCUAAACAUCAGAAAAUCAACAACCCAGUUAAAAUAAUCUAGAGCACUAACCAGAGCGUUCUCAGAAGAAGCACUACAAACGGCUAAGAAACACGAGACUGCUCAACAUCCUUUGCCAUCAGGGAAACACAGAAGCUCACUUUUCAGUUUUCAUCUUUCUGGAGUCAGAAUGGUUAUCGUCAAGAAUGCCAGUGACAUGGAUGUAGAGGACGGAUUCCUUCAUUGUCUAAGUCUCUGGAAAUAGUGCAGAAGAGUAGUCAGGGACUAAAAGAUGGAAGACAGAAAGGGCUGCAAAGUUCCAUCCUAGAGACUCAAUACAGCCAUUGCAAUGAUGAACUCACAAAAACUGCAUUUACCUGAACUUAGCCUGCUCAAGACAUUGAAAGUGUUUCAAAGUAGCUUUUCCUGUUGUGAAUGUACCUCUCAGCUAGUCUGGUUUCUGGUUCAGAGCUCUUAGGCACAGAGUUGUCUUGAACAUUUGCUUACAGGCACUUGUGUAGAUAUCAGCUGCUUUUUUUUGUUAAAUCUCUGAAAUAAAUGCCUAGGCGUUCAAUGGCAAUGUUAUAUCAGUAUGUAUUUAGCUUAGUUUUAAAAUAAGAAACUGUCAAAUACUUUUGUAGAAUUACUGGACCAUUUUACACCCCUGCCAACAAAGUAAGAUUGAUCCAGCUCCCCACAUUCUCAUAAACAUUUGUUUUUGUUUCUUUAAGAAGACAAGUUAACCAUUCCAUUUAUUGAGAAUUUACUUACCAUUCAGUGCAUUGCUUAGAUAUGUAGUAUUCAGUUUUUAGUACACAUACAAGGUUGUGUAUCGAUUACUACUAAUUCCAGAACAUUUCCAUUACCAUAGAAAAAGAAACCCAAUAUUCAUUUUCAUCUCUCCUCUAUGGACUUACCUAAUCUAGAUAUACCAAAUAAAUGGAAUUUUUAUAAAAUAUGA
RNAcentral lists this long non-coding RNA (1852 nucleotides) under Mus musculus (house mouse). Its description in RNAcentral is "RIKEN cDNA 5530601H04 gene". Lineage: Eukaryota; Metazoa; Chordata; Mammalia; Rodentia; Muridae. The record is from RNAcentral.